CAGUAGCCGCGGGAAUACGUAGGGUGCGAGCGUUAAUCGGAAUUACUGGGCGUAAAGCGUGCGCAGGCGGUUCGUUAAGACAGAUGUGAAAUCCCCGGGCUUAACCUGGAAACUGCAUUUGUGACUGGCGAGCUAGAGUAUGGCAGAGGGGGGUAGAAUUCCACGUGUAGCAGUGAAAUGCGUAGAGAUGUGGAGGAAUACCGAUGGCGAAGGCAGCCCCCUGGGCCAAUACUGACGCUCAUGCACGAAAGCGUGGGGAGCAAGCAGGAUUAGAUACCCCUGUAGUCCCUGUCUCUUAUAC
RNAcentral lists this ribosomal RNA (301 nucleotides) under uncultured bacterium. RNAcentral's name for it is "partial 16S ribosomal RNA". It matches the Rfam family "Bacterial small subunit ribosomal RNA", at positions 509 to 807 of the family's 1533-position model. The record is from RNAcentral.